This 433-nucleotide ribosomal RNA is filed under the name uncultured bacterium. RNAcentral's name for it is "partial 16S ribosomal RNA". It matches the Rfam family "Bacterial small subunit ribosomal RNA", at positions 30 to 507 of the family's 1533-position model. The record is from RNAcentral.
AGCGAACGCUGGCGGCAGGCCUAACACAUGCAAGUCGAACGGACCCUCCGGGGUUAGUGGCGGACGGGUGAGUAACACGUGGGAACGUGCCUUUAGGCUCGGAAUAGCUCCUGGAAAAGGGUGGUAAUGUCGAAUGAGUACCUCGGGGGAAAGAUUUAUCCCGUUUAGGGCGGCCCGAGUCUGAUUAGCUUGGUGGUGAGGUAACGGCUCACCAAGGCGUGGAUCAGUAGCUGGUUUGAGAGGAUCACCAGCGACACUGGGACGGGGACGCGGCCCAGACUCCUACGGGAGGCGGCAGAGGGGGAUCUAGCGCAAUGGGCGAAAGCCUGACGCAGCCAGGCCGGGAGAAUGAUGAAGGUGUUAGAAAUGUAAAGUUCUUUCACCGGGGACGGUAAUGACGGUACCCGAAGAAGAAGCCCCGGCUAACUUCGUG